Molecule: long non-coding RNA, 940 nt
Filed under: Coturnix japonica (Japanese quail)
Lineage: Eukaryota; Metazoa; Chordata; Aves; Galliformes; Phasianidae
Description: lncRNA (ENSCJPG00005019595.1)
Source: RNAcentral
GGGAUUUAUGUUAGGAAAUGUGUUAUACAACACAUUCAACUACCACACAAAAUCCUGGCAUAGAGUGGAUUUGUGCUUUUAAAUAUGUUUGCUUGUUGUGGUCAGCCCAAGGGAGAAGUAAAUAGUUACUGAAUAAAAUCAUCCCUAUGAAAUGUAAUAAAGGUUAAAUACAUCCCCAGAUAGUAGUAAAGUGCUAAGUUAAAAGUUAAUGCCUUGCUAUAUUACACUCCUCAGCAGGACAAGAGCAGUAUUAUGACAAAACAAAUCACAGCAAGAUGGAAUACUGUUUGCAUUAGAAACAAUUUCCUUUUCCAGACCUAUAUUCUUCAAUGCUUUGCAUAGAAUAAGAAGUGGCAUAAUUGCUUAAAUGUUAUCUUUCACAUACAGAUUUUUCUGAAGGUCAUAUGAUGAUUAAGCCAAAUAUACCCAUUCUUUCUUGCACCUUUAGCCCUACUACCAAUGAAAAUUAUCAAGAACACACAUUCCACUGCAGAUGCUCAGAGCUCAGAAAAUUUACUCAAAUAGGACAGCAUGUUUGCUAGCCUUUUGUGCUCUUUCAACCUCUGCUUUUCAUCUGGAACAUAAUUCUGAGAAUUUUAAAGAAUGCCUAAGACAGAGCUACAUAGGUGUCAAUAUUCACUGCAAUCAAAAUCAGAAAAAGACGUGACUGACACAACUCAAUACAAGGUGGAUGAAGGCAAAGAUGACAGUGAUGGGAAUCUGAGCUUUUGUAGCCUCUGUGGGUUUAUCAAUUUUGCAUUUUCUGGGAUAAGAAAAACUGAGAGACUAAUAACAGGACACUUGUUUAGAAACACCUUUGCUUCCUAAGAAUUGUUUGAGUAAAAACCUCAAAAAAAUGAAUCACAUUCAUGUUAUAGUUGAUCUUACUGUGUAUUAUGAAUCUGUAAAAAAAUAAAGCAAGGAUGCUCUAGAUAAGUCA